CCUACGGGUGGCAGCAGUGAGGAAUAUUGGUCAAUGGGCGCGAGCCUGAACCAGCCAAGUAGCGUGAAGGAUGACUGCCCUACGGGUUGUAAACUUCUUUUAUCAGGGACUAAAGUGUGGCACGUGUGCCUUUUGGUAUGUACUUUAUGAAUAAGGAACGGCUAAAUCCGUGCCAGGAGCCGCGGUAAUACGGGGGAUAUGAGCGUUAUCCGGAUUUUUUGGGGUUAAAGGGAGCGUAGAUGGGUUGUUAAGUCAGUUGUGAAAGUCUGGGGCUUAACCCUGACAUUGCAUUUGAUACUGGGAGUCUGGAGUGCAGUAGAGGUAAGCGGAAUUCCUGGUGUAGCGGUGAAAUGCGUAGAUAUUACGAAGAACACCGAUUGCGAAGGCAGCUUACUAAACUGCCACUGACAUUGAGGCUCGAAAGUGUGGGGAUCAAACAGGAUUAGAUACCCCAGUAGUC
Molecule: ribosomal RNA, 460 nt
Filed under: uncultured bacterium
Lineage: Bacteria
Description: partial 16S ribosomal RNA
Rfam family: Bacterial small subunit ribosomal RNA
Source: RNAcentral